Molecule: long non-coding RNA, 390 nt
Filed under: Malus domestica (apple)
Lineage: Eukaryota; Viridiplantae; Streptophyta; Magnoliopsida; Rosales; Rosaceae
Description: long non-coding RNA (MDOM_LNC002278)
Source: RNAcentral
CCUGGAUUUCUGGAGUUAUACUGCUCCGAGGGAUCUCAAAUUUGGAUAUGUUGUAGUUCACAAGCUGAGGAACAACUUCAAUGAAGAAAGUAUGCUGAUCUGAGCAAGAGAAAAUGGAGUUUCGAAGCUCACAACAAAUCUGACGGGUUGACAGAAAAAUAAUAACCAGUCAUUCAUCAUACCUGGAUUUCUGGAGUUAUACUGCUCCGAGGGAUCUCAAAUUUGGAUAUGUUGUAGUUUCACAAGCUGAGGAACAACUUCAAUGAAGAAAGCAUGCUGAUCUGAGCAAGAGAAAAUAGAGUUUCAAAGCUCACAACAACUCUGACGGGUUGACAGACAAAUGAUAAACAGUCACUCAUCAUACCUGGAUUUCUGGAGUUAUACUGCUCC